GGAGUUAGGAAAUGUAAGUGCGCUAAUAUCGCAUUUAUUUGACGAAGGCUCCAAAGGAAGCCACGGCUAACUCUGUGCCAGCAGCCGCGGUAGUACAGAGGUGGCAAGCGUUGUUCGGAAUUAUUGGGCGUAAAGAGCACGUAGGUGGGUUUGUAAGUCAGAUGUGAAAGCCUUCUGUUCAACGGAAGAAUUGCAUCUGAAACUACAAGUCUUGAGUGUAGGAGGGGAGAGUGGAAC
Molecule: ribosomal RNA, 237 nt
Filed under: uncultured Planctomycetales bacterium
Lineage: Bacteria; Pseudomonadati; Planctomycetota; Planctomycetia; Planctomycetales
Description: partial 16S ribosomal RNA
Rfam family: Bacterial small subunit ribosomal RNA
Source: RNAcentral